CCUACGGGAGGCAGCAGUGGGGAAUAUUGGACAAUGGGCGAAAGCCUGAUCCAGCCAUGCCGCGUGUGUGAAGAAGGUCUUCGGAUUGUAAAGCACUUUAAGUUGGGAGGAAGGGCAGUAACCUAAUACGUUAUUGUUUUGACGUUACCGACAGAAUAAGCACCGGCUAACUCUGUGCCAGCAGCCGCGGUAAU
This 194-nucleotide ribosomal RNA is filed under the name uncultured bacterium. RNAcentral's name for it is "partial 16S ribosomal RNA". It matches the Rfam family "Bacterial small subunit ribosomal RNA", at positions 338 to 524 of the family's 1533-position model. RNAcentral also lists the same sequence under 1 other name. The record is from RNAcentral.